CCCGAGGCCCAACCUCGGAACUGCAUUGGAAACUGAUUUACUUGAGUGCGAUAGAGGCAAGUGGAACUCCAUGUGUAGCGGUGAAAUGCGUAGAUAUGUGGAAGAACACCAGUGGCGAAAGCGGCUUGCUAGAUCGUAACUGACGUUGAGGCUCGAAAGUAUGGGUAGCAAACGGGAUUAGAUACCCCGGUAGUCCAUACCGUAAAYGGGUGCUAGUUGUUAAGAGGUUUCCGCCUCCUAGUGACGUAGCAAACGCAUUAAGCACCCCGCCUGAGGAGUACGGCCGCAAGGCUAAAACUUAAAGGAAUUGACGGGGACCCGCACAAGCGGUGGAGCAUGUGGUUUAAUUCGAAGAUACGCGAAAAACCUUACCAGGUCUUGACAUACCAAUGAUCGCUUUUGUAAUGAAAGCUUUUCUUCGGAACAUUGGAUACAGGUGGUGCAUGGUCGUCGUCAGCUCGUGUCGUGAGAUGUUGGGUUAAGUCCCGCAACGAGCGCAACCCUUGUUAUUAGUUGCCAGCAUUUAGUUGGGCACUCUAAUGAGACUGCCGGUGAUAAACCGGAGGAAGGUGGGGACGACGUCAGAUCAUCAUGCCCCUUAUGACCUGGGCAACACACGUGCUACAAUGGGAAGUACAACGAGUCGCAAACUGGCGACGGCAAGCUAAUCUCUUAAAACUUCUCUCAGUUCGGACUGGAGUCUGCAACUCGACUCCACGAAGGCGGAAUCGCUAGUAAUCGCGAAUCAGCAUGUCGCGGUGAAUACGUUCCCGGGUCUUGUACACACCGCCCGUCAAAUCAUGGGAGUCGGAAGUACCCAAAGUCGCUUGGCUAACUUUUAGAGGCCGGUGCCUAAGGUAAAAUCGAUGACUGGGAUUAAGUCGUAACAAGGUAGCCGUAGGAGAACCUGCGGCUGGAUCACCUCCUUUCUAAGGA
Molecule: ribosomal RNA, 936 nt
Filed under: Oenococcus oeni
Lineage: Bacteria; Bacillati; Bacillota; Bacilli; Lactobacillales; Lactobacillaceae
Description: bacterial SSU rRNA
Rfam family: Bacterial small subunit ribosomal RNA
Source: RNAcentral